This 253-nucleotide ribosomal RNA is filed under the name uncultured bacterium. RNAcentral's name for it is "partial 16S ribosomal RNA". It matches the Rfam family "Bacterial small subunit ribosomal RNA", at positions 524 to 776 of the family's 1533-position model. The record is from RNAcentral.
UACGGAGGGUACAAGCGUUAUCCGGAUUCACUGGGUUUAAAGGGUGCGUAGGCGGGCAGGUAAGUCAGUGGUGAAAUCUCCGGGCUCAACCCGGAAACUGCCGUUGAUACUAUUUGUCUUGAAUGCCGUGGAGGUAAGCGGAAUAUGUCAUGUAGCGGUGAAAUGCUUAGAUAUGACAUAGAACACCAAUUGCGAAGGCAGCUUGCUACACGGUUAUUGACGCUGAUGCACGAAAGCGUGGGGAUCAAACAGG